Molecule: ribosomal RNA, 531 nt
Filed under: uncultured bacterium
Lineage: Bacteria
Description: bacterial SSU rRNA
Rfam family: Bacterial small subunit ribosomal RNA
Source: RNAcentral
UGGGGAAUAUUGCACAAUGGGCGGAAGCCUGAUGCAGCAACGCCGCGUGCGGGAUGACGGCCUUCGGGUUGUAAACCGCUUUCGCCUGUGACGAAGCGUGAGUGACGGUAAUGGGUAAAGAAGCACCGGCUAGCUACGUGCCAGCAGCCGCGGUAAUACGUAGGGCGCGAGCGUUGUCCGGAAUUAUUGGGCGUAAAGAGCUUGUAGGCGGUUUGUUGCGUCUGCUGUGAAAGACCGGGGCUUAACCCCGGUAUUGCAGUGGGUACGGGCAGACUAGAGUGCAGUAGGGGAGACUGGAAUUCCUGGUGUAGCGGUGAAAUGCGCAGAUAUCAGGAGGAACACCGAUGGCGAAGGCAGGUCUCUGGGCUGUAACUGACGCUGAGAAGCGAAAGCAUGGGGAGCGAACAGGAUUAGAUACCCUGGUAGUCCAUGCCGUAAACGUUGGGCACUAGGUGUGGGGGACAUUCCACGUUUUCCGCGCCGUAGCUAACGCAUUAAGUGCCCCGCCUGGGGAGUACGGCCGCAAGGCUA